CCCAUCUUCCUGCCUUCCCGCCUGCCUUCCUGCCUUCCUUCCUUCCUUCCUUCCCUUCUUCCUUCCCUCCUUCCCUCUUUAAUGUUUGCUAUAAACUACUUGACUGAGAGGAACAUGCAGAGAAGGAAAUGUAAAGGAAUUAACGGUAGGUAGGUAAAGAAUGCUGAGGCAGUCCUUAGCACUGAUUGUGCUGCAGUUUGCUCAGCAAGGCUAGAGAAUGCAAAAUAAUCUGUUUUAGCAUUGUUGGUGGGUUUUUUGGUUGUUGGUUUUUUUUUUUUUGUCAAGUUGGAUUAGAAGCUGUGGAAAUGAUCACUUCAACAAAUGUAUGAAAAGUUGCUUGUUGUCUUUGCACUGAUGCCAACUGUAUUGUGAACUCAGUUAAUGGGCUCCUGUAGAGGAGCGUGAAGGAAAUAUGUUUCAUUUUAUUUUCCAUAAUGAAUACUAUGUGAUCAUUCUAGCUCCCACUUAAAUUGUUGGUGUGGUUUGGAAGAGGAGGUAGUUUUUUCCUAUUUUUUAUUUUUUUCUGCUGUUACUUGUUAAGAGAUAAUGAAAAGGGGAAGUGCAAGUGACAAAAGAAACAAAAACAGUAUAAAGAUUUAGAUGGAACAUUUCAGUUGUCCUUCAUCCCCGAGAAAGCAAUCUUUAGAAACAUACAGAGGCAAAUCCAGAUUUGAAAAAAAAGAAAAAAGUGUUUUAAUUUGUCUAUUUGCAAAGCUUAAGUUUUGAGAAUUAAAUUCUCAAAGUUAAGUGGACUUGAGAAUGUAAAAGUAAGAGGUUUAGAUUCUGAUCUCUUGUUUAUUUGCUCCAGGUAAUGGAACUUGAAUUUGACUCUGAGACCAAGCAUACGUUAACUACUCUCUUGGGGACUCCCAGUCCAGUCCCAUUUCCCAUAUUACGGUGGCUGGAUUUCCAUUUCUCCUUUGUUUUACACAAAGCUCCCUUAAAGCUGUGGUUAUCCUGAUGAUUCAAAUUGUCAUUCCCAAGACCAUGGCAACCAUUAUUGUCUGGAGGACUGUUCUGGACCCUUUCUAAAGGGCAGAAAAGAGGCAGAAAAAAACUGCCGCUGCCACCAUCUCCUAAUAGUGAAGGAGAGAAAAUGAAGCCACAUGGUUCAGAGAUGAAAACAUGAACUCUGACUUACCUUUCUUCCCUGAUACAACUAACAUGCUCUCUUCCACAGCCUACAGCAACUUGCUCAUGUCUGCAAUUUUUCAACAGCUGACCUUGUCAUCCACAAGCAGCCUUGUCUCCCUCUCAUCUGACUUGUUCCUCUUCACUUCUGGGCAACACAGUCCCCAGAAUCAGGAGCUGGAGAUCCAGCCUCUCGGAUUUGUGGAGGAAAGACCCAGCUGCAGUCUGUCCACACUGCAGACAGCCCCUGCUCUCAGAGAAGGCAGGACACCCAAGAAGAUUUUGAAACAGUGUGAAAAGCUUGUAUCAUGAAUAGUAGAGAAAGAAACCUUGGAGGUUCAAGUUUCUGUUUCUCCCAAAAGUGAGUUUCACAUGCUAUGUUUCUGGUGGUUUUCGUUGUUGUUGUUGUUUUUUUGGGAGGGUGGAGGGGGGAUGUGGAGGUGAAUUACAAUAUUAUUGCCAAGGGAGUUGCUAAAGAUUUGAAAACACCGGCACUCUUCAAUGUUAAUUUACAAGAUUUUAAAGAGCUGGUAGUAGUAUCUUGACCUAUUCAGGUCCAGUGAAACUUAUCACAGCCAUGCAAAUACGUUUCCUCCAGAAAAUAUCAGGAUUUAAUACAAAUGGUUAUCACAAUUUUUAAAGAAGUGGCUUCUAGAAUAGAAACAGUAAGAUGUUGAGAAACUCAGGAUUAAGUCUUGUUUUCAAACCAAAUUAUUUAAAAUGUUGUUAGCUGUACUCUGAAAGUGUGUCCAUGCAGUAUAUUUAUCCAACCCCAAUGGCUGUUCAAGCCUUGAUAUUCACUAUCAUAGCAUGAUUUACAAAACUUAACUCUCAGUCUUAAGUGUGCCUACAACAGAAAAAUUAGUUUGUCUUACAUGUUUUAGAAGGUGCUGUGUGGUCUGGAUCUUCAGCCAGAAUGUUUGUUGCACUUAAAUUCAUUUAAUCUCCUCAAUGUAAAUCCCACCCACUCACUUAUCUGCUCUGCUCUGUGAAAUUCAGGCAUGUAAAAAACUCACAAAAUGAGAUGUAUGAAACAGCUUUGCCUAACUUCAGGCUUUCUAGGCAAUCAACACCUGCGACUUCAAGCUACUGUGACAAAAAUGUAAGAAAUGUUCUGUCACAGAAUGCUAACUAUUGGCAGUCUUGACUGACGGACGUCAGAAAGCCCUCAUGUCUCACGUUUGUACUUCCUAACCUUGUGUGUGGUUUUUAUCCUCAGAAAAUGCAGUAUGUCAUGAUCCUUUAAAUAACAAAUGUCCUUAUUCCUUGUAAUGGGGUCAUUAAGAACUCUAAUGUUCCAGGUAUAAAUUCCUGCUACUACUGUGCACCUUCAUUUGUUAUUCAUGUGUGAAUCCCUUUGGGUUCCCAAUUACUAUCCGGCAACAGCAAUUGGCUCUUGAAAUUAUCCCCACAGGACUGACUUUGUAAAGGACACUGCAGUUUACAUCUUAGUUCCCUAAUUACAGACACAACGCUCGAUAAACCUUGAACAACUAGUAAUUGGAAGCUAAUGGUUAGUCUCAUUGAAUCCCCGUUGACACAGAUUUUGUUGCCCGAUAACUGACCACAAGUGGGUCAUGUGAGAAGGCAGGAGUGAAGAAAGAAUAUUAAGGUCAUACACUACCAGUGGGAAUUGACUGGAAAAAGUCCCUUAUGAAGUGGGGGCUUAACAUCCUCAGUUUGUUACAACUCAGUGCACAACAUCUGAAACACCACAAGUGUUACAACUGCAUCUCCCACCUAGGGUAAGAAAUGGCAGAUUAGAUUUGUGAGGGAAGGAGGGAUAGGUUUCAAAGAGCUUUUUGCCCCGCUCUGUGUGCUGGUCUCUUCUCCGCAAGUGCAAUGUAGCCAUAAAAUACCUUGUGUUAAUUUAGUUGAAGUCUUGGUCCUAAUGCUAUCUCAAGAGCCAAAAGUUUUUGUUACUUUCCAUGCACACUGUCCUUCCACUCCCUGCUUCAGAAUCAAGCCCUUUAGAACAAAAAAGAGAAUAACCAAGAUUAUAAUUUAUUUGACCUUUUCAAUAUUCCUUUUCAUCAAGUGCAAAGCAAAAUAGUUUUAUCACAAUAAAGUUCAUUCUAUGCUGUAUUUAAUACUACUCCCUCAUCCAAAUAUAAAUGCAGACCUCUGACAAAGAGCACAUGACAUCACACAUGUUCCAGCUGGUUAUAUAAAUACUGUAAGAUUACUUAGUAAAAAUGAUUGCUUGUGAAAAACAUUAUCAAGCAACGGUUUGAGCUAGGGUCAUUGUGUUCUGAUGAUGCAUGCUUUUUGUUAUGGCAGGUAAGAAGAAAGCUUGUGUGGAAUUUUGUUGGAACCACUUCAUUUACUACUUCAUUUACUACUUUCUUGAAACAGAACCUUUUAUGAAUUAACUCUAAAGUGAGAUCAAUAAUCUUAUAAAAUAAUCCAUGAUUUCAAAAAUACCUUAAUUUUGCAUCGGCCCUGUUACCAGUGCCAUGAAAAUAUUAAUAUUUUCAUCAUAAAAGUAUGACAUAAGAGGAGCCAUCCUGACCCAAACAAAGGGUACAUCAAGCCAAGCAGCCCAUCUUCACCACUUGCCAUUAGUGGAUGUCUGGAGAAUCACAAGAUCAACACACGCAUAUUGCCCCACCACAUCCCCAGAAUUCUCCCAUCUUCCACCCUUCAGGGUCAGGAUUUCCUGACCCUCAUAUGGUUUGCUGAGUAACCUACUGUCUUCUGAACAUUAAUCCCAUCUUCCUAUGAUGGGAUACAAACAUUUUGUAUCCACGGUGUCCUUUGGGAGGGAACUUCACAGACCCACUGCCUGCUGAGUGAAAAAACACCUCCUUUUGUUUGUAUUAAACUUAAUUCCUUUGAUAGUCUGUAGAUUUUGCAAUGAAAUACUGUUGUCCUUAGUACCAAGGGAGUCUAGCAAUUCAUUUUGCAAGUCUCUGGCACAGCACUUCCUGGCUAUUGUACAAGACCAUGUAUCCAUUUUAAGCAGACAUGCACACAAAUAUUGACUUUUUAGUUGGUUGCAUUUUACAUUUGCAUGGCAACACUACACCCAGCACGAAAGCUUACAGCACAGCAGCAGAAAAUAAGGCAUAUUCAAUACCUGCUUUAUCUAGCACUUCUCCAGUUCCAGUAUUGAUGGGUUUGAGACACAGGACAGAGAUUACCUGUACCCCAGGCCUGACAUGGACCACCAGCAGUGCUGCAGUGCAUUGGUGUUGUCCUCCACUGAUGCUGAAAGCAGUGCACAUCCACCAGCCAGGAGUGUGCCCUCUGGCGAGUUCACUUGUUAGGCUCAGUCUCAAAGACUCUCAGGAGACACCAGAGAGGACUUUCAUUUCUCCACCUGUUUUCACAGAAAAAAAUAUAACCCUUUCUUGGGAUGUCCUGCCAAAUGAGCACUUUGGAUUUGAAUGACAGGGGUAAAGUUGGCUGUGGACACUCCUUUGCUGAAGGUUUGUGCAGUCUGAAUAGCCCAUUGUGUUAGGCAGAGCAAAGGACAUAGCUGCACACAGUUUGACAACUAAUCAACAGUUCAUCACACCAGUGCUGUUCCGCAGCAGCUGAACGCAGAUCAGACAAGAGCUUGCUAACUGCCCACCAGCAAUUGCUGAGUGAUAACACAUGCAGUUCCCCACAUGUUUAUGCAGAUACUCAGAUUUAUCUGACAGUUUUAUACCCAGAAGCAUGAUACUCAGUAAUUAAAAUUAAAAAUGUUUUGUCAGCCAAAACAAAUGGCUAUAUAAAUUAGAAAGCUGUAAAAAUCAGUGGUAUCCAAAAAUAAAGAUCCAUAGAUAAAUCAGAAUGCUGCAACAGAGAAUGUUUUAACAUAAGUGUGUUAAUGUACAGCCGUUCUUAAAUAUAGGCUCUGAUUCUGACUGGGAGAAGAGUAAUUUUCCAGUAAUAGCCAAGAGGAGCUUUGAGAGAUUAAAUGGAAAAAAAAUCUUGCUAAACAAGGGGCGGGGGGAAAGAAAGUGCAUAUCCUUCCAGUGGGAAGGAAACAGGGAGGUGGUAGGGUGGGGAGAUGCGCUGCGGUUCAGGGUUUUCUCCCCACUGUCUUGUCAAGAGGGCUGAGGUGAGUGUCACAGUGUCAGGAGGGGACUGGAGGGUGCCUUUGCUGUGCAUCUUCUGCAGAGGACAAUAAGGACCAGUAAAGUUUCUUCAUCUCCUGCUAUGCUUGUGAAGCCACAUACUGCCCUAUCUUGUGCCCACAAAAGGCAGGAACUUUCCUGGCUCUGGUUCCCACUUGUACACUUCUGCAUCAGAGGGCAGGUGAGGGCAAUCUCCAUCUAAAAAAAAAAGAAAACAACAACGAAAAAAAAAAACCCACAGUGAUUAAGCUGCAAAUCUCUUAGAUAAAUCCCUUCCCCCUUGCUUCUCUGAAGGGCCUGCAGUUUCUUGCCUUACCAAGUGAGCAGUGACCUAGCCCUGACCCUUUAAGUAGACCCUGUGGCUCAGCAAUAGCUCUGAACAGGUCUCCUCUGCUGCUGGUUUACAGCUGACAUCAGUCACACUGCCUGGGGUCCUCUGGGUGCAACUGCCCUCUGGCCUUGGUUGUCAGCUUGGGAGCAGGGAAGAGCCCUGGUAAAAAAAAAACGUCUGCAAAGCCGAAAGCAGCAUUAACAGCUGAUUGAAAGAGCAUUUUUUCUGUUUCUGCCUCAACCAUAGGACAGAGAGUGCUUGGAAUGAAAAGUGGGUUCAGGAAUGGAUGACAGAAAAUGACAGCCUUCUUUUUCCAAGAGGCUUUUACAGUUCUCUUGGGUCUCACCACACCUCUAUCAGUCCUGCUGGAGUUACCUAAGAUUUUUGAGCAUACAGUUCUGACCAAUGACAAUGGGAAAAAAAGUGAAAAUAUGAUAACAAGCUUAGGCACAGCCAGAUAGUCAGACAAGGAGGGUAGCAUUUCUGCAGCAAUUAAAACAUGACUGUCUAAGACACUAUCCCUGCACACAGCAAUAUGAAACCUACCCCAUCCCUUCCUCAGAUAGGCUGAGUUCAGUAGGAUAAAUGUAGUCUGUCUCUGAUUUUCCCUCAUUGGCAUAGCUCCAGGUAGCUUCAGUAGGAUGCCUUGAGUUACUCUAGCCACUACUGAAAACCAAAUCCACCACAGGCUAUGGAGAACAAAGCUGUUUCUGCUGAGCAGUAAGCUGACUGAAUAAAUGACAGAAUGCUGAGACUGAUUUUCUUGGGUUAGUCUCUCUAAUCAGGUGGAUCUUGAAGAGGUACAGCUACUGGGGAGCAAGGCAAAAGUUCUGUGCGGCCAUUCCUGGAGCAGUAUGCUUAUGCAAUGAUUGUGAGGAUGCCUGCUCAUGGAAUAACUUUACCAAAAGGCAAGACAGGGCAUAUUUUUCUCUUUCAGGAAUAGAGUUCUGAAUGCAGUCUUUCCAGAUCAUACAAAUGAGUCAUGCUUUGAAGAAACAUCAUAACCUGGGUGACAUUGGUUAUCCCUUCCUUGGGAAUUGAAACUCCAGGCCACUAAAUGUCUUAAAACUAUACUCAUUAACUUGGAAGUGUGAGUUGUUUUCUGUAUAUUUUUUCCUGUUUCUUGCCAAAUACAUGGGAACUGACUGACCACUGUGUUAACUCCAUUGGCAUUAAGGUGUAAAUCCAUAGCUCUAAAUGGAGUUUCUGCAGUAGUGCAAUAAAUACUCGGUCCUUAGAGUCAUGAUAACAUUACUUCUUCCUUCUCCAAGUAGGAGUUAUGCUUUUUUCUCCCCUUCUACCUCAAAAGUUGAGGAUGCCAAACAAACCUGUAUCACCUUCUUUGUCUUUGAGAGGUGGCAUGGCAAUAGUUGAAUGUGUCUCCUUGGUGAUGAGGUCAUUUCAUAUAGAAUCAUAGAAUCAUAGAAUCACGAAGGUUGGGAAAGGCCUCUAAGAUCCUCCAGUUCAACUGCUCAACUAUCACCAGUAUUUCCUACUAAAUCAUGUCCUUCGGUACAACAUCUAAAUGUUUCUUGAACACCUCCAGGGACAGUGACUCCACCAUCUCCCUGGGCAGCCUGUUCCAGUGCCUGACCACUCUCUCAGAGAAGUAUUUCCUAAUGUCCAACCUGAAUCUCCCAUGGUGCAACAUGAUGCCAUUCAGUCUAUUUCUGUCAUUAAUUAGAUGGGAGAAGAGGCCAAUUCCCACCUCAUCACCACCUCCCUUCAGGUAGUUGUAGAGAGCAUCUGCUCACUGCAGUGCUGAGCUCCAGGACCAUCAUUUGAUUGACUGUUCUAUUGGAUGGGUUGUGGUGAUUGCCCUGGACUUGUUUUUCUGUCUUGCAUAAGAGGCUUUUAAACGGCUCCAGUAUUUUAGCUGUUCAUGACGGGCACUUAACAAAACAGAAGAGGACUUUCUAAAUGAAAUGUAUCAACUAAAACAGGUGACAGUUUGCAGCUUAAUUGUGCUGUAGAGAAUAUGCUUACCAUGGUUUUCAGAAGAUUCUUGUAUGGAACUAAAGGUCAAAAAGCCUUUUAGUUCCUCCCAUGAAGAGUCCUGAGGCCCGUCUUUUCAAGGGAGUGAGCUCCAGUGCUGACAAAGCAGGCAGUGAAACUGAAGUUUUUUGCAUUCUCAGGUAACUGCUCAGCACUAAACCCCUCCUGACAGUCUGCUCUGCCCACUCCUUACCAAGAAGCACGUGUGGGAGGCAAAUGCAAGUCCAAUAAAAAGCCAGGGCAGUAAACUGAUGUACUUGGCAGAGCACAGCAGGGAACAUGACUUGGCACAUAUCAUAAUUAGACUGCAGGGAAGAGCAGAGAGACUGUUUAGUGAGGAUCCCAGUGGAAACCAGAUUCACAGGGUGGGAAGGAGGCUGAAUUCAAUUGUAGUCAACCUCUCAAGAGGAUGUUCUGAGUUUAGACAACCCCCUUCACAACUAGACCUUGGUUUUCACAUGAAGAGUUGUGACUUGUACGCGCAAGCCUUUUCUUACAUACUCUUACCUGUUUGGACAGGACUGAGCCUUGCUGAUCAUCAUUUCUAAUUGCAGGAACUCAUAUCUUUGCCCUGUUUAUAAAAAAGUCCCUGUCAAAUCUCUGCUUUCUUUAAUUUCCAAGGAAAAGCAUAUGAAGUGCAUGUGGUCUCUACCAGCUAAGCUUGGAUGCCAUCAGAUCUCCUGUAAUAGGUUCAGAGAAUCGUUAUUUAAACCACUAUUCAAAUUAUUUCAAGAUUAAAUUCCAAAUGGAGAAGCAUUAAAAUGCAUGAUCCCCAUCUGCGUAAUGUUCUUCCAGACUGUCCUCAUUUACAAAGUGCUUCUACUUAGCAAAAGUGAAAAAAAAAAAAAAAAGAAAAAGCAGCUAGUUUUUAAUUCACUAGACAGGAAUUCAGGGAUAUUCAGGGAUUAGUGACUAUGUACACAUCCCAGAAGGUGAGAAACUGGCAUUUUAGGCUUUGUAAAGUUAAUAAUGGGCUGCUGAUUCACUUGGCAUUAACAAAUGUUUACUUAUAAGCAUCCUAGAUUACUGAAAAUAAAAAAAAAAUGUUGAGUAGUAAAUUACAUGAAAUAGACAUAUUGAUAAAUGAAAUGGAAUUGAACUUGCUACAGUAAAAAAAAAUAAAAAAAUCAGGCCUUUCUGUUACUGGAUGUGUGGUUGCUUCUAUGUUGCCAUGGAAGCUCUUCCUUUAACACUGCUAGAAAAAAUGAGAAGGAGUUCCAUGAAUCUGUGAUCUGACUUUUUCAUCCUUUUUUCUUUAAGUGCAGUUCUUAAAAGCAUGCUCCAUAACUUUAAGAAUUUAACUUAAGGCAUGAAGAAAUUUGCAGAAGAGACUCUGCAAAAUCCCUUUGGAAGGAGUAACUAUUUAUAUGAUAGUAGCCAGCACAGAGGUUAAGCUAACAAUAACCUUGAAGACAGACCUCUCAACAGACUAUUUGCCAAAGAAUUCACCUGAAGGUAUCUGUUACCACAGUUGUCUUAAUAUAAGUAACAUGAUUUUCAAAAUCUGGAGUAUCCACAGAUCUCAUGAAAACUAACAACAAGUGGAGUAGUUCAGUAUUACUGAAAACUGGGUCAUUUCUACUUAACUACAGCCACUGUGGAACCUUUAUCCUGAGGUCCUACAGAAACCUGAAACUCUAAUAUGCUACAGACUGACCAGUACAUUCAUGGUAUGUACAUUUUAUUUCAGCUCUGUGAAGCAGAGGCACACCUUGUAACUUGAACUUACAGUUCAAAACCUCUUCCUUUAAUCUGGUGCAAACAAAAUGGACCACUCUUGGCCCACUGAUAAAUAAGUUAUGCCAUUUCAGCCCAGAGGCUGAAAGGCUCAGAACUAGAGUGUUAAAUUAGACCCCAAACUUUCAAUUGGAAAACAUUUUUUUUUCCCCACAACUGGUGUAUUGCGCUGCUGCUGUAUUUUAUUGGGUUGUGUGGGUUUAUUGAUUGUUUGUUUUGUUCUGUUUUGUUUUGGAAAGCAUCAGGCAAACCACUACUGAGUCUUGUGUUAGGUUAGAGAGAUGCCUUUCGCUGUGUGCAUCUCACCUGCAGAACAGGGACAUGGAAGAUGUUGCCCAAUGAGCUGGUGGAUGUCCCAUCCCCAGAGACAUUCAAGGUCAGGCUGGAUGGGGCUUUGAGCAACCUAAUCGAGCUGUCAGUGUCCCUGUUCAUGGCAGGGGAAUUGGACUAGAUGACCUUUAAAGUCCUUCCAACUCAAACGAAUCUAAGAUUCUGUAAACACAUAUGCAGCAGGGAAGAGUGACUGGCUUUCAGAGUGACUGGCUCCUUGGACUUAACAGGGAAGGACAGGUCUUGGGGCUGGCUCAGGAAGAGGGGACUUUGAAGGGUCAAGAGAGGGCUCAACUACUCUAGUGAACUUCUAGAAGGAUUUGUUCGUGUUCUUCUAACUUUUCCCUGAAAACUCAGGGCAAGAAGGUGAACUAUGUGUGCUGCUAUCUGUGCUGGAGAAGUCUCCUAAGUGAUGUGGGAUUUCUUAUGGGGCACCCUGAAAAGCUGGUUCAGGCAAGGUGCAGCAAUGCAAUGUCACAGAAGAUCUCAUCAUUUGACCCUGGGGUCAAAAUCAUUUUGCCCUGGGGGCAAACUAGAACAUGGAGGCUACUGCACCUUUCUCAUUAGAGCAUGUGAUCUCUUGCACCAUAAAAAGGAAACAUAUAAAAUUAUUUAUCUCCUGAACUGUUUGUGGAUGAAGAUAAAGGGCAAUUCCUCUGUUAUUCUUUCUUCUGUCACCCAGUCCUGAAGAUGGAACAUUAAAACACAGGUUAGGUUACCCAAGUCACUGCUGCAAAAAAAAUCCCUCGAGCAAUUCUGUCCUCGUUCAAAGUUCAGCGCUACCUGAAAAAAAAAAAGAAAAAAAGCCCAACCCUUCUUGGUCCCAGCAUGGUGCAGCUUUCAUGCCGUGUCUCUGUUUCAAACAUAUGUAAAGAUUUCAGCCUUGCCUUUGCAAAGAAGAGAAAACAUGCACUUUCCCCUUCAACUUAUGGAAAGGACAGUUAUGGUACGAAGCAGCGGAUGUAACUGCAGCUGCCACAAGCAGAAAAGGAUGGCUGAAAUAAAGGCAGGGCAAAAGCCUGCAACACACUUGGCUGCAGGAACCAAAGCUCUCUGUGCACUCUAAAGGACUUUGAAGGAAGACACUACGUAGUGCAAAGUUUGACCAAAGUUCAUUUCAGUGUCACAGUGCUCAGUUUUACCUAAGGAGCUGGGUACUCUUCCCUACCAUGAGCAGCAAGAAUAUGCUUUGGGUCCUAAAGCCACAUUCAGCCCUAAGGAUGAAAAUACCAAGGGGGAGAGAUUUCAAAAUGCACUCUACAAUUGCCAUAUGGUAUUCAAAAGAUCUGAAACUGAGGUUGCAUGAGGAGGGAAAGAAGUUAAUUAAAUUGUUAGUAAAUAGCUACUAAUAUUUGCAUUAUAGGCAUUUAAACUCAGUAUGCGGUCUCUCUUUUGUAUCUCCUGCAUCUGUUCUGAUUUUCUGUUUCAUCAUAAACAACACUCUAAGAAAAGGCAUCUUGUUCAUCUUUGACAGGGAGAAAUUAAAAAGAGAGUUGGCGUUUUGGACUGUAAUUUUGUUGCUAUUAGCAUACAAUGAAAGUUGACUUGCUACACAGAGUUUUCAGCUCUUGCAGAUGCUGCAGUGAGUAUUCUUCUACAUGCAGAUGUUGUACCUUUCCAACUACAGCCCAUUUUAAAAUUAAUAGCCAGGGACCAUAUUUUUGUCACAUCUGAGGGAAUAGAGGUGAGCUGUACUGAACUGGCACCUGAAAGCUACAGCUUGUAACAGUGCUGCUUUGCCAGGUAUUGCUGAAAACAAGAGAGGAAAAUAAGACACUAUCUUGCAGAGAACUUACAACAUAUCAGGCAAAGGAAAGCAGGAAGGCAGACAGGCAAGAGCAUGAGAUGUGAUAUGACACAGCCUGAGGGAGUAGUGUCAGGGAGCCUGGCAAAGCAAUCCAGACUUUUUAGUGCAUUUUCUAGAACACUAUCCUAGUUUUGUUUCCCUCCUAAAUACUCCAGGACAAGGCAGCUUACUCAGAACUGUUUGUAAGUUAGCCAGGAGAAAUCAGCUUUUGCCUUCUAAUGAAGAUUUUAAACAAAGUAGGGGUAAAGCAGGAGCAGGGAAAGAGAAGAGCAAGGUAUUCCUAAAGCUAAAUGGUUGCCCUUCAAAUCAUGGAACCCUUGAAGUACAACUGCCUUUGCUUUUCACUCUGGAUGCUCUCAGAGUCUGGCCAGAGAUAAAGUGCUAGUGCAAGCAAGGCUGACCUGAGAAAGUGAUUCAUGGUACCUGACUUCAAGGUGAAGUGAAGCAAUACGGGAAUGAGGCCUUCACUUCUCUGUAGUGCUGAGUGGAGGAAAAGGGUUGUGAUGGCUUGUGGUGGUACUGCUGCUGGGAGACCCAACUCAAGGCCCUUCAUAAUGACUUGAGUGCUCCUCCUCAGAAACCAGGCCUCUGGGCCUGACAUUUUGGACUGAGAAAGCCAAAUCCACAAGACUGCAGAAUCACUGCAAAAAUCCUGGGUGUGGACUUGAAAAUGUUAACUUCACCGUCAUUUAUCAGUUUCCCUUUGUGAUCAAAUAUCCUGAGUAUUUUCACUUUCCUCUAGUUAAAAGCAGCAUGUUAUGGAGAGCUUCUUUUUGUGUAGAAGCCAUGUGAGGUUUUACACCUGCAUGCAAAACAAAAUAAUUGUGUUUUGUUACUACUUUGAACCAUACAGCCACUUCUAUUAAAAGCUGCAUGCAAAUAGCUAUCUUUAGUGUGCCACAGAUUAGUCAUAUUUGUUUUCCAAGGAAGAUUAUAAAUAGUGUUUAGGGGGGAAACAGAAUGUAUUUUGCAAAUGAGUCCAGAUGGAAAACUAACAGAUGGCCCAGAACUGUAUUUUUGUAUGCUCAACCCUACAUUUAAAUUAAAAAUUUUCAUAAUUAAGAUGAAGAUCCGUAACAACACAAGCUACUUGUCCUGUGCAGCAUUAUAUAUCAUGCAUCACAGGUAUCAAGUGCAGACUUUUCAUAAAAUAGUUGUAGAAUGUGUAAGCAAAUUUUGCUACACAAUUAGUGGGGGAAAAAAAAAAGAGCAGGAACAAAAAGCAAUUCAUGAAAAUUAAAGAAAGGAGAAAAUGAAAACAUUGUAUACAAACACAUGACAUACAGGAAAGAUAUCUAGCACCAUCUGGUUUUUUUCCUUUGCGAACUGAAUGACCUGCCUCUGUACUCAGAAAAGGAAGGAGAAGAAAGGUCACAUUUUUUACAGCCUUUCAGCCCAGAACUGGUAGGCCAGUGGGAUUUUCCUUUUUCAUUCCCUGCAUGAAUUGGGGCUCUUUAAUUUUAAGAAUUGUAAGGUUGGAUAAACUGUGAUCAUAUGCACACGCUAUAUUUUGCAAGCAGAAGCAAGGGCAGUGAUUUGCAUGUUAAUAUUUUCCUCCCAUAAAGCAAUAUCUCUAUGCAUGGUUGGUGUAACUGCUACAGACUCGGUUCCUAAAGCUGGAACAUUACUCUGUAUGUGGUCUGAUGGUCAGGGGAUUCAGCAGAACUUACCUCCUUGACAUGAGGUGGAACAGGGACUCCCUCCUCAGCAUGAAACCCCAUCCUGGGCUCUCCACUGCCCAGAGCAUUACCCCAGCAUGGAGAGAUGUGGCUCCUGCGUUCACACCCAACAGCCUCUUGGGUGAGAGGGAGGAAGAGAUGCUACUGAUAGACUAUUUUGAAAUCGAUUGCUCUUGGGCCAGCCAAGAAUGAGGAGGAGUAGGAACAGCUUCAGAGCAUUUUUGCCUUCCCAUUGUGCUCCCUGAAGUGUCCUCCUUGGCUGUCCCAAUUCAUAAGCCAAACUUCCAGGCAUAGCCUUAUGGCAAGAGGUAUGGCCUCUCUACAAAGAAACAAACACCACCCACAUACAACUGCCAGGCAUUCUGCAGGGGUUAAUAAAAAUGACACUACCAGGAGACACUCAACUGCAAGUCAGCAACUCAGUGGUUUUACAAAUCAGUUCACUGUGGUAGAAAACAUGCUUUAUUAUCAUAUAGUAGCUGCUUCUGCUGCUCUGUCAUAACAUUUAAGUGCCUUACCAUACUGCAUUAAAUAGCAUGACUCGUGAUGAUCAUCUUGCUCAUUUUCCUGCUCAGCUCAUCCCCAUGGAGGGAAUUCUAGGUACAGCAGAGUGCCUUGUUUUGCUACAGUAUAUACUAUUUUUGGACAUGUUGUGGUGUUUAUUUUAGUGAAGGAAUGACUGGAGCUGCAUGUUUUGCAUUGGAGCACAUCAGGGGAUGCUUGUGACAGCUUUCCCCUGCUGCAGAAGUCUAUUCCACAGGAAUAGACUAUUGCCAGUUCCCAGGAUGGCAAAGGCAAGUUUGCCUUCAUGGAACAUCUGAUAAUGAGAAUAGCCUCAAAAAUGACAAAGACAAAAAUUCCACUUCAGAUUAACCCAUCUGAUAGCAUUCUCAGGCAUUUGUUGUCCAAAUCAUAAAUUCAAGUAAGGUGCUGUUUUCAUCCUAGGGAGUGCUAUUGUACUGCUGCCAAUGUUCUUUCAGAACUUUCUAUGUAGGUUUGACAUUUCUGGAAGAUUUCUCCCACUUGUCAGAUUCUCCCUCCCUACUUUUCCUCCUGUGUGUACCACUGAUCUGAUGGCUGCAGAGACAUCUGCUGGUUGUUAUACGCUCUGAGUAUUAAUUAAUUGUAAGGAAGGCAGAAAAUUCCUCAAAUCACAUUUAGAUUCUUCAAUUUAUUUUUCUAUUUCUUGAAGUUUGUUGAAAUAAAGUUUGAUUUAUUAGUGUGAUGGUGGAGUAAAGAUUUGAACUAGCCUGUUUCUGUAAUGGUAUUUAUUAAAGUUUUUGAGACGCAGGAAAUCCAGUUUGAGCUAUAACUCUCAUUUAGAGUCAGGUACAUUUAGAAGUUUAUAAUGACUCCCACAUCCUACAUGCAAUUUCCUAAUAUCUUAUGUACAUAGAAAUAGCCUUUUGGCUUUACUUCUGCAUUGCAAGUGCAAAUUCUUCAAAAUAAAGAAUAUUCUUUAUCUAUUUGUGCAGUAUCGUAAAAGCUAGACACUACCUUCUACUUCCAGCAGUGUCUAUGGCUUGCUUUUCUGCAUGUAUGUGUUUGGGAAGCAUGUCUUCAAUUCUUGCAGUCUGCUGCAACUCCUCCAGUCCCACCCUAACCUGUCACUGUUAGUCUAUUCCACUUUAAGAAGUUCUUCCCCCAUUAUCAGCUUAUUUGCACCACUCUGCUGACCUGGUAAUCUAUCAGCACUGAAACACCAGGUUAAUAAUUGACAUGCAACCUAAUCUGGGCUUUCCAGACAGGUGAAUUUGAUUGUAAAUCAGUUCUGCAUACAGGUUUGUCUCUUCUGUUCUUAAUUACACCUGAGCAAAUCUUAAUUUGCCUAAUAUAUUGUUUCAGCUUUUUGCAUUUCCAGAAUUCACAUUUCCAUAUCGAACACUUCUUGGAGAAGGAAAAUGGCUCAUCCAUUAAAUCAAAUGUGACAAACAAAAUAGUUAAUACUUCUCUUAGCUAGUGUUACUUGAAUUUACAGCCCAUGUUCUAGAAAAGCUUUGUGUCUAUAGUAGUAGCAAAGCCAAAAACCCAAGCAGAUAUUAAGGAUAAAGGAGAAUUCAUUUGUUUCCAUUUGAGAUUGCUUUGUAACUUGCACAGUUAUUUUUUCUUUACCUGAAAACAUUAAUACCCUCCUACAUAUAUUAGCUGUUGAUCUUCUCAUCAGGAGAGGAUGGGAUGUUUCCUGGUGCAUGCUUUCUCAGCUUGGAAAAGGACAGGCAACAAAGAGAAGCUUUACCAUCUAGGCCACAUCUUGCGGAAAGCCAGAGCUCAGUGUUAUUAAUUCUGUGCGUGUGGAAGAGUUCCAGAAUCUGCCCCAGGCCACCACCAGCAGCUGGAGCACAUCAUGGCCAUGGGCACCCUCAUCCCUGCUCAGCAGGGCUGGAAAGACCCAAAUCCUCCUCUUGCCUCUGAGACACAGUGCAGUGAUGCUACAGCCCCUCUCUACCCAACAACACAGCGGGCUGCAGUAAGAGCCCCAGCCAACAUAGGGUCUUGGUGCUGGGAUGGUAUUUCUUAGAGGAAUGAUCUUUGGAACAUAAUCAAGAGACCAAAUGCAAGGAUCUGCCAAUAGAGAGAAAGAGAGAAAGGAGAAAGAAAGGGAAUGCAAGCAUUUCCGAGUAGUAAGAUAUAUGAUGGAAUUCAUGAUGGGAUUUUCACUGAAGAAGAUAAUAUAAGCACAGGUUCUCCUAACAGUGCUACACAGUCAAUGCAUCAGACCAUUGCCCAGGCAACCUGCCUAGGAGAUAGGCUAUUUCUUUUGGGUAAACACAACAGAUUUAUUUUUCCAUUUUCUACUUUUUUCUAUCAGUAUAUCCUUUUCAGGACAGCAGCCUUUCUGUAUCUGCCUUUGUGACUAAAAUGACACUUACAAUAGGACCCAUCAAAUCAAAGGGAUCUUCACUGCUGAAACCUAGUGCUAGGGGCUGUCAGCUCCCUUAGCUGCCCACUGCCUCCCUUAGCUGUGACAUCACAGACCAGGUGUCCCAGAGCAGGCUGUAAUAGAGGUUAACGGCCAUGGGGACACCUGGGCUACACUGCAGACAAGAGAACAGGCUUCCAUGGAAGAUCUUUUUCUCAAGGGCUGCUCAGACCAGGAGUUUGAUAAAGAUGCUUGUGAUAUUAUAUGCAAAAUGGCAGUUUGAGAAAUACAUGCUGGGGCACUGUAUAGGAAGUCCGCAUCAGUGCUUGAUCACCAGUUAGUGUCUUUUCCCCAAUCAGAUUUAGAAAUGCCUUCUUUAGUGUAGGUGCAAAGACUCACACUCACAAAUACACUCCCUCUGCCAAUGGACACAUCAGGUGGAAAAACACUGGUGUGACAAACACAUAUGUGAGACAAAGCUUGGGGACAGCUGCAGAUUUUAGAGAAGUGACCCAGCACAACAGCACAGAUGGAAGCAGUCACAGAGAGAAGGGGAGACUUGCUUUGGCUGGUUGUACCAAUUCAAUCACAGGAAAGACAUUUGGCUUGGCAGCAGUUGACAUGACUUGGGAAAGGACCAUUUCCUUCACUUUGACCUUGGGAUGUCCUUUCUCAAAGCAUUCUCCAGCUGCUUCAGUUCCCGAGGAAUGAAAUGAUCAUUGCCCAGUAUUACUCUUUUCCUGGAGUUCUCCUCCACAGAAGAAAAAUCUUAGUGGCAAAUAAAAUUGGAGUCCUGACCUUAAUCUGGGAAAAAGGGGAAAAGGAGAAUGAGAGGACUACGUUGUUUUAUGUCAUGAAGGAAACAGUAGAGCUUUGUAGCAUAUGCCUCCUUCUGACUUAAACUCACAUGUUCUGACCAAGCUGACAGUUAAAAAUGUAAAUCUGUCAUGAUGAUCGUUAUGUUUUGUUGAGACAAGAAUUCUACUUAACUCACAGAGCCUGCAACUUUCUCUUCCCUGAAGAAAUUUUUGUUUUGUCUUCAAACAUUUGGGUCACCUUUAGUCAUCAAGUCUUGAAUGUAUAACUCAGGACCUAGAAGCAUUUUCACUAUUGAAAGAUGAGGAGUAAAAUUUGUAAUGGGAUUGUUUCAUAAUAUGGGAUAAAACACAAAUGCUAGGGGAACUACAGCUUUGUUUGCAGUCUAUCUAAGAGGUUUUAUUUCCAACAUCUGUUCAUUGCUUGCUGUGCUGUUAGCUGAUGCAGAAGUUUCAGCUGUUUGCAGAAGAAACAGGAUAAUUUGUUUUUUAAUUCCUUUCAAGUAUAUCUCUAUCUAAUUCAUUCUGUUCCAAGAACUAAAGUCAACAGUGGCAAUUUAUGCAUGAACACAUGACUGCGAACACUUGUCAAGGUUAGCUGAGGUGAGGAGGAGGCUUCUGUCCCAUGCUGAGAAGGGUGCUGUAAUUCUGCAGUGGGUAGGACUGCCUGUAAUCUUGCUGCUGAUCUAAAGCCCAUCUGGGCAGAGCCCUGCAGCCCUGAGACUGCAGCAGCCAACUCAGCUCAGCACAAUUCAGUGAAUGUGUCAGUCAGUGCUGGGGCAGGUGGCUCUGGUGGGGAUUCUCUCUCCUGGUGCUGCAUUUUGGGAGCCUGCAAAUGCCAGGUGAGGCCAAGGUACAAUGAAGGACGUGCCUGGAAGCAGCAGGCUGUGUGACUGACGGCACUUGGGUGUUUGCUGUGGUUGCAAAGCUCCAGAGAAGAGGUCUGAAGUUUUUUUCACAGGGCUUGUGAUCAUUGCGGGGAAUCAAGCAGAACUUGAUGCAUAGGCCUGCUCCCUUCUGAAAGGUGGAUGCAGCUCUGUGGGUGAGUUUGUGCUUUAUGUUGUCCUGCUAUGUUAUCUCACAGGCACUAUGGGUAUCGCUGGUGAUCAAAGUUACAACUUAAGUCAGCAAGUCUCUGAAACUGCCACAGAGGUGAGGAUAAAUGCCGACUAAAUGCAGGACGUCUAAAUGCUCUAGAAAAAAUUCAUCAUGGGAAAUUAAGUGCAGGACAAUUUAUGUGUCAAGGAUUCCUCCCUCCUUAAGGCAAAUGUGGAGAAAAUCUAAGACAUGGCUGUUAGUACGAGGUGACCAGUUACGAUGUGAACCCAGCAAGCUGCAGUAGAAGGAUUGAGAUCUGUUGCGUGUCCUGAAGCUGAACAACCUUCAGUGGGCAGGAAAUGAGGGCUGUAGAGGAAAUUUAUAGAAUCAUAGAAUCAUAGCAUGGCUUAAGUUGGAAGGGAACUUAAAGAUCAUCUACUUCCAACCUCCUGUCCGGGCAGCUCAGGCUGCCCAGAGGCCCAUCCAACCUUGUCUUGUACGCUACCAGGGAUGGGGCAACCACAGCCUCCCUGGGCAUCCUGUGCCAACGCCACAUCACCUUCUGAGUAAAAAAUUUCUUCCAAACAUCUAACCUAAAUCACCCCUCUUUUAGUUUAAAGCCAUUCCCCCUUGUCCUAUCACUAUCAGGCCAUGUAAAAAGUCGGUCUCCUUCCUGCUUGUAAGAUCUAUUCAAGCACUCACGCCACAGUGAGGACUACCCACAGCCUUCUUUUCUCCGAGCCAAACAAGCCCAGCUCCCUCAACCCUUCUACAUAGGAGAAAUUCUCCAGCCCUUUGAUCAUCUUUGUGACCUUCGCAGGACCCUCUCUUACAGCUCUACAACCCUCCUGUGCUGGGGGCCCCAGGCCAGGACACAGUAUUCCACAUGGGGCCUCACAGGGGCAGAGUAGAGGGGGCCAAUCCCCUCCCUCUCCCUGCUGGCCACCUCUCUCCUGAUGCAGCCCAGGAUACUGUUGGCCUUUGGGGCUGCAAGAGCAUGCUGCUGGGUCAUGAUUUUCAUCCACCAGGGCCCCCAGGUCCUUCUUGGCAGGGCUGUUCUCAGUGAGUUCUCCCUGUCUGUACUCACACCUGGGAUUGCCUUGAUCCAAGUGCAGCAUCUUGUGCUUGGCCUUGUUGAUCCUCAUUAUAUUCUCAUGUGCCCACUUUCUGAGCAUGUCCAGGUCCCACUGGAUGGUGUUCUUCCCUUCUACUGUGUCAGCUGCACAGUAGAAGGCACUCAGCAUGGUGUCAUCAGCAAAUUUAUAGAGGGUAUGCUCAAUCCCACUGUCUAUGUUGUUGAUAAAGAUGUUGAACAGCAUAGGUCCCAAAGGUGGACCUGGGGGACACUGCUCGUUACCAGCCUCCAUCUGGAUACAGAGCCCUUGACAACAACCCUCUGGCUACGACCAUCCAACCAAUCAUUUAUUCACCUAAUAGUCCAGCCUUCAAAUCCUUACCUUUCCAAUUUAGAGAAGGAUAUGGUGUGGGACCAUGUCAAAGUACUUGCACAAGUUCAGGGAGAUUACAUCAGUUGCUCUUCCUUUGUCCACUGAUGCCACCACUCCCUCAUAGGAGGCCAUCAGAUUGGUCAGGCAUAAUCUGCCCUUAGUGAAGAUGUGCUGGCUGUCUCAGAUCACCUUUACAUUUCACAUGUGCCUUAACAUCUCUUCCAGAAGGAUCUGCUCCAUGAUCUUUCCAGUCAUGGGGACUCGUUCUGUGGAAUGUGCUUUACAGAGCCUGUGUGCAGCUCUGGUCCACCCAGCAUGGAGAUCUUGGGACACUCCCUUCUCCAAGAGAGUACAUCCCUGCUUGUAUUGCAGUACCUUCGUAUUUUGUGAAUUGACUGUUCUUGCAAGGAAAAUGGAAAGGUCCCUGUUCCUGCCUCAGGCAGCACAGCCAUCCUCUUGGAGAUGAUGCCCCACAUGUUCCUGCACAGUGUUAUGGAGGAGUCUGCGAAGUGCUGUUAUUGCAGUGCUGUGAUUGACAAGGUACUCUGAGCUCAGCAAGAGGAAUUGCCCCUGACUUCCCAUUGUUCCUCAGGUUAUGUUGGGAUUUUAUACUGUUUCUUGACACCAUGUGCUAAACACCUUAAUUAGGAGCAGCCAGACCACCUGUUUUUGAAGGGCUUUUGUUCCUACUGUUGCAAUGGCAGCAGAGUCCUCAAAGUGAAGUUCUUGUUGCCAUGUCUUUGACAUGUAGUGCUCUGCAGCAUCAUUAUCAUGUGGUAUAUAUUUUAUGGCAGGAGAUACUGACAAAGCACCAGGGAAAAGCAGUGGAAGGAAAAUAUCCUGCUAAAAAUUAAAUAUGUUUGUAAAAGGCAAGAAAAAAAAAGCCAUUAAAAAUAUAAGCACAGCUGGUCCUUUACCACUCUUGGGGUGUGUCUGCCUUUCUUUUUUUGCAGAAAUGGCUCUUCUGAGAGACUAUAACCCUAACCCUGGCAUAAAGUUUAAAAAUAUGCCUACUCAAGCAACUGCCUUUUUUUUUUUUUAAGUCUAACCAUCUAUGCAGGUAAAUCUACCAGACAAACAAAUGCACACCAGUUGUUUUCUCCUCCUCCAGUUUUCACUGGGGCAACUAAAAAUCUCUGUAUACAACUUUGCACCACAGUGGAAUUUGGCUUUUUUUCUGAAGGAGGAAAAGGGGUAGAUGUCUCUGUCACUGGCUGAGCCCUAAGAUACAGAAAAGAAUCAAAUUCUUAAGAACGUAAACCGCUGAUCUGAUCUGAUCUGAUUGUAGCUUUCGAAUUCUGAGCUUUUCUUUUUUAAUUGUCUGCAGGUGUUUAUCCUUUUUCUUAAGUGGUAAAGAAAUGUCAAAAAUCUAUCUUUAUAGGGAAACAAAAAUGCUGAUAGGCCACAUCUUCCCUAGCUCUCUACUGCAAAGCAGGACUAGUGAAACAAGAUCAGUUUUUAACCCUGUUUUUCCACUGCUUAUAAAAAAACAAACAGAGCGAGAUUACUGUUUCCGCGGGUAGAAAAAGGCAUUACAGGAUUCCUUUCCUUUCUACUUUUUCAUGUGCUUCAGAGCUGAACAAAUUGUAAUGAGAAAGUUAUCCAAUGAAAGCAGUCUUUUUUGCAGUUUGCAAAUGGUGCAUGCACAGGUUUACAUUCUUACAUACUGCUUCUUUCAUGAGAGUUUGUAAAUACCCUUUGUGGACAUUAUAUGUUCUUGAUUUGCUUGCAAAGAGUUUACUUCAUCUUCAGGAUGAUCAUUCCUUACUAGUGGGUCAGCCGCAAAAAGCGCAUUCAAACACUUUGGUUUCUUACUUAGAAAUUAAGAAGGGAGAGUAAAUUAUGUAAAGCACUCUUUAAAUAUCCAGGUACUCAUGAACACAGCUAUGAAGAAUGUCUGAAAGGCCACUUCCAUAAAAAUAUAAGACACGUAUAAAGGAAUAUGUGGCAGAACCACUGGGUCAAGAUUUAAGAAAAUGCUCAUGACUAAACAUGCCUUCUAUUUUUUUUCACCCCAUGUUACUGUACGUGACACUAUCCUUCCUCUGAUCUGUUGCUCAUCUCUGCUGGACCUCCCUGGAUUAUUAUAAAGUAUCCCCUGCAGGAUGGCGUUCUUGGAUAAAGUACAGAAAAAAGGCCUGUUUGCAUAAUAAAAACAACGUGAGGGAGUCAUUCAUUAGACUGGCAUAUUGUUGUUUUUGCUACUUGAAUGGCAGAUUUAUUGGUCUUCUUGGUGUAGGUAUUUAUUGCUGAGAUGGGGGAGAAAACUGAAUCAUAAACAUCUCAGUGACUUUGAAUAAAAGCUAAAGAAAUGCUGAGGUCAUUCUAGCAGCUUGUGUUUGUGGAGUGCAACAGAAGGUGUUCAGAAGAAGAUAAAUACUUGUUUCAGCCAGCUACAAUAGAAACCUGCUCAAUUCAUGUAUCAGCUAUUAGUUGUUUCUACAAAUGACAGAAAGGAAAGCAAUGCUCUUCUCAGUAAGCUACUCUGCAUGCAAUUUGUUCUUCCAAGGAAGAUCUCUCUGGUUCCAGUAUUGAAAAAAUGUGCAGUGGCCACAGUGCAACUGAGACAUCCCAACAGCUAGCCCACUAGCCAGCCAAAAAUGGUAUUUUAUAUAAUUCUCAGUCUGAGAAGCAUAGAAAUCUCUAUAUUAGGUUGCUUAUCCACUACAAAUAGUUGAGUAGGAGGUGGAAUUAGGACAGGAGUGAGAAGGAAACCCAACAAAGAAGCUGUUCUUCAGGCUCGAGAGUACUUUCCUGGGGCACUCUUCUCAUACAACAUGAGAGACCCUUGACUGUGCAAAAAGGAAAGCAUAGGGCAAAAUUUGAUGUAGAAAGUCAGUUUCUGUACAAUUCACUGUUUCUCUUUGAAGGUUCUUCUGUAUCUUAUCACUUCCUACACUGGUGCCAAUACUGGGGAGAAAAUAUACCUGAUGUUUAAAAUUAAUAUGUUCAUGCUGUCUUUGCUGGGACAUGACAACCCAUGUGUGCCAAUCACAUCAGAAUGGAAAGGCUGACAUACCAGAAGUCAAGAAAAAUCUGCAAUUGCACUAUCCAAGGGUUGCAACACAUUAUUUCCAUUCAUCUUAAAAUACAGCAGCCGUGAAACCUUGGCAACUAGUGAAGCAACUGAUGAUACCUGAUUUGUGAAGCUCACAUCCUCUCCUGGUGGCUGAGACCUGUUGUAUGUAAACUGCCACCUCAGCCAAGAGAUCAGAGUUGGCAACUGCCUUGCUUUGAGCAGAAACUGGACCAGAUGACUUCCAAAGGUCCUUGCCAGCGUGAAUUGUGAAAUAUUCAUCUGAAUUUGGAUAGCAACCAAAGGGAAAUACCAAAGAUCUUGUGAUAUGCAAGAUUAUGGUCACACUACUGUUUUCCCACUGUGUGUCACUGUAUCAGCCCAAACAAGUACAUCUACUCUGAAAUCAGUAACAUUAGAGAGUCUGUAUGACUCAAGUGCCCUAUGUUCACUUCAGGAAAGAAAUAAUUUAAUUAAUCUCUCCUUUCAUGUAAUGCCCUAUGCUGUGGCAAAUAAAUAAAACUAAAAAGGCUCCCUCCCCCUCCUCUCCCCCCCUCCCAAAAAAAGAAGAAAAGAAAGAAAAAAAGAAAAAAAAAAGUCUUAUCGAUCUGCAAUGGCUUCUCUGGUCUUUCUGAAACCAGUAGGUUGCAGACUAGUCACGAGUAGCAGUAACUGCUUGUUGUGUAUGACGUGUAAUCUGCAUUUGCAGUAAUGACUCUGAAGAAGCCUGCUCAGCAGCUGUUGCCUGACAGCCAGAAGAAAAGAGACAGAGAGAUUUUUCCCAUUGCUCUCCACUUAGCUAUUCAGCCCCCUCAAAUCCCCAACUGUUUUAAACAAGAAAGUGUCAUCCUGACUUGCUUUGGGAGCCCUGGGGAUCUGGAGUGUGCCUGCUGGAGAGAAAAUUUGUUUUCUUCCACGUAUAAUGUAUCCAUUCACCCUUCCCAGUAAAAGUGGGCUUAAUUUUCUUUCUUUCUUUUUUUUUUUUUAAGGGAAUAAUAUACCAGUUAGCUCAGUUUCUUUUUUGCCAGGCCUUAGACUACAAAUGGAGACAGGUAACUCAGUCUCUGUAAAAGCUGAUUUGUUACAUGAAAAUCUGGACAUUGCAUACUGAAUAGCACAUCAAGGUUCUCAGGGAUUAUCCACAGCUCUGUCCCUCCCUACCUCUAAUGUGAGACUAACCCUGGCCCUGAUUCUUAAGCUGUUGUGAAGACUUGAGGAACAGAUCUCUAUAAACAAUGCCUCUCUUGACUUUAAAAUUUGAUGUGCUCUAACUGCACACAACUCUCAAAAGCUAUGGUGGUGCAGCAACCACAGCUAGAAGCACAAGAACAUUGUUAACACUCCACAUACCCAGCAGGACUUCCCUCAAGAGAGGAGAGGUUCUCACACCACCAGGUAUGCUCCAUGUCCUGAGCUAAUGUCUGGCCCUACCAAUGGACUCAACCAGAUGAUAUCGGAGGGACAGACCUGCUGUAAUUCAUUCCCCUUUCUGCUCUUGCACAGUGUGAACUGUUUUGGUCAUAUUCCACAUGGUGUCCAUCUUACAAGGACCAUCUUAAAAGGAGUUCUCACUUCAAAGAGUUUGGUUUCCCAGCAGCAAUUUCUCACGAGUCCCUUUAGAGGGACACUCCUGACAAUAUGAAAUAUUGCCAGGUUAUGGGAUUUGGAAAUAACUGUGGUGGUACUCAGUUAGUCUCAGAUUCUAUAAAAACCUGGCAACAGGCAAGUGCCAACCUAGGUGUUCUUAUUCUGAUGUUUGUUGGCCCUCUGCAUGCCAAAGAGCACCCUCACCUGCUUUUUCCUUUUCUCCAACACACACAGAGCAGCUACCGUCUGCACAGACCUGGAACUCAGUGCAGUCUUCUCCCGUGAGGAUUCACCUGCAUGGAAAGCCACCGUGCAAGUGCAUGUGAAAACAUACUCCCAUUUACCGUUUUGUGAUGUUUCUCUCUUUAAAGGGGUGUGAUUUGAGCAAGAGACGUUUUGAACUACCUCUGAAAUGAGAAGUGCACCUUCAGCCAACAGAGCGUCAGCGUGCACAGCCCCAGGCUCCCUGUGCUGCAGGCAGCCUUGCAAUAAACUCUGCUUUCUGCCCUUCUCCGUGCAUCUUCUAGAAUCUUCACGUAAAAGAAAAUAUGAAUUAAAAAACAGGCAAACAAUAAAAACAGGCCAAACAAAAGAGAGCAACUGCAUUUUCUUUUCCUGCGGUGGACCACUCCCCUCCUGAGAACUUCUGCUCUUCCCACUUUUGUUGAAUUGCGCUGCUCUGCUGAAUUGCACUGCAAGGACUUGCUCUGCAAGGACCGUGCAAGACAGCACCUUCCUCUCCACAUUGGCUGUGCAUCAAGCUUGUCCUGCAAGCAUCUGGAAAGUCAGAGAUAGACUACAAGUACUGUGCGUGGCUUAGAAUUCGCAGGGUAGCUCCUCUUAGCAAGAGCUUGCUCCAGCCCUUCCUCCUUCCAAGGAAGAAGACUGCAGCUUUUACAAAUGUGGUGGCAUACAGACAGACUUCUACAUUACUUGACACACAGCCUUCCCUGAAUUAGAGCGUCCAGUGCCUUUUCAGCUUCCCUGCAGGCUUCAGGAAAAAUAAAUCCUUGGCUUUGUCCACAUGUGAAAAAAGGUAGAGAUUUCCAAACUCAGUCUUCCCAGACAUUUGAUUAAGAUGACAUAAUUUGACAUGAGUCAGCAUGAUUGGCAAGUCAAAGCAUACUGCUGGCUCUCACAGCUCAGGAGAGCCUGGUAAACUGGCAGAGCUCUGACGGUCAUCGUGGCACAGCCUAUGUGUGGCAUCUCUUUAUACUCUCUCUAUUUACACUCAGAAAAAUUGUUUCACAGUUCAUAUUAUCUGGGCCACAUCAGGUCUCAGAAAGGGAGCAAGAAGAUAGGAAUGGGAGUGACACAAGCCUCCUACAAGUAGUCACUGAAGUAAUGACCCCGGGUAUAGAGUCACUUCGGGCAAACUUCUGAAAUGGCACAGCCUGUUGGGUGGUGCUGAGCUCUAUUUGAAAACUAGGCCAGAAGCAUUGCAGUGGAAACAGCUGGUUACUGAGCGAUUUUAAAAAUCUGGCUCUUGUUUAGCUGCUUCCAUGGGAACUGAGCUAAAUUGAAAACCUGGCCCCAACCAGGCAUGCUGAGCACUUCAAAAUUGGUCCUUCUGCUCUUUGGAAAUUUCAGCCGAUGUUGCAUUCUGCCAGUACUUGAGAUUUCCUUGUUUUCAGUAGGAAACCUUCUGAAGUAUUACUGAUUUUUGUUCUACAUUUUUUGCUGCUGCUUUCUUUUUCAGCUAACACAAACAUCAGUGUCUGUCAAUUUCAGAGUCUGUUCCAGGCUCUGUGUGCCAGCAUGGUUACUGCCUGCUAAUUUCUUUGCUUAUAAGCAAGGGUAGAAGUUGCUAUCUGUCACCUUUGAGCUUGCCAUUUGUUGCCUUUGAAUCCUAGCCUGAAUGAGUGUGGGCUUCUUUCAGCCUGCAUCCAGAACAAGGCUAAAAAUCAAACCUUAUAUACAGUGGGAACUCUCUCCAUCACAACCCUUAGCCAAGUCUGGGGCCCUAUUGUACUCGCUGUUGUGCAAUAAAGCCUGUCCCUUCUCUGCAGCAUAAGCAGACAAUAUGGAUGUGGACUGGCAGGGGAAAUGGGAAGACUGAAGUGUUAAAGCAACUUAACCAAGAAUGCACAAAGCAUGGACAGCUGGGUUGAGAACAGUACCCAUAUCAAACUGAUAUCCACAGCUGGACAAGUGUGUUCCCUGCACACCCCUAGCUUUAGGUGACCAGUGAAGGGCUAUUAGUAAAUAAGGACAAAAACAAGAAGGAGGAUUUCAAAUACAGGCAGAAGAGCAUAUGAUUAAGUUUUUUCUAAGGCUGCACACUGCUAUGUAACUUUGAUGGCUGCCAGUUAACAAGCUAGCUCUUUUAAGAGCACGCUGUGAUGCUCUCAUGGGGACGGAAGUGGCAUCAGGACAGGUUAUUUCCAUGACCUAUGUCAGUUGCACACUGCUGGGAAAUGGUGAUCGGUGCUGUGUAGUGCAUUAGUGCAUUUGGAUGCCCUUGCCUCCAGCACAGAGAUGCGAAGGUACCAUCAGAGCUGAAUAGUUGAUGAUGUGACUUUGGACACAGUGUAAAGCCGUGGGAACAAGCUGGUGAGUGCUUUCAGCAGCCUGAAUCCAAAGAGCCAAGUUAAUUCAGUUUUUGCAUUAACUGGUUGUUCUGUGGGAGAGGAGUAACGUACUGCUUCCAUGCAGCUGAGGAGGGAUGAUAAACAGAGACCCAAUACCAGCUAGAAAGCAUGCAGCUGUUUCUGUUUUCAUACGAAAGGCAUCAGGCUGGUCUGAACAUCUUGACUGUGUAGAGGACAAAUCUCCCUGUGUCUAACUUCCUGUUGGCUUCCUGAAUUGGAAAAUGUCUCUUAUUGGGCAGUAAAGUCAAAGCUAGAAUUCUGACAAAAGCAGAAGCGAUACCACUCCUGGUAAACUGGCAGAGCUGGGAAGCUCAUUAUGCCACAGGAGUGAUACCACUCCUGCUCCCUGAGUUGGUGAACAUACUUCUGAACCUCUUGGGGCUGUUCUGAAGAGAGCAUGCAGCUUCUCCUCACCUCAAAUCUCAACAGACUUCAUUCCUGUGGCAACCGCUGUCUUCCCAUUUGCAUACAAAGUAUAGACUGCCUCACACAGAACACUGUUUGGAUUGGCUAUUCUGUUAUAGCCAAUCUCAGCAGGUCGGGGGGUGGGGGUGGGAAAUCCCAUCUUCUUGUUUACCUUCAGCUCUGUGAAUCCUGAAUAGGUUUCCGAAAAUAAAAAUUCAUGACAGAAAGAAGAGAGGGAGAAUGAACAUUGCUUACUGCUACAGAAAGGAGCCUUUUGUUGGAUAAAGUUCAUCAUGAGUUACACACUCCUCUUUCCAGGUUAAAGACCACGCUGCCUUGUGGUCUUGUGCCUAUGACCACAGAUAUGAUAGGAGAGGCAGCAUCUCUUUUGCCUCUCUUUUACUUCUGCUCUGCAAGGGCCUGUUCUUUCUCCUCUCUCCAGGUGGUGGCAAGGUCAGGCUGCCCCCUCCACACGGCAGAUGAUGUCUGUCUCCCUGAUAUUAAAGUUUUGCUAUGUGUCUUCUUUGAGUGUGCAAAUCCUGAUAAAAGCCUGGUGCAGAUCAGAAGCUGGGCUCCAAUAACAGGCUUUGCUAAACAGCCUCUUUCUGGUUAAAGUUUUGCUAUGGGCGGCUUAGUUCCACUUUGAAGAUUUUCCCUUCUGUUUCUCUGGUAUCUGCAGGGCAGGGGGGAGGAAUGUGCUCUCCGACAUGCAUUCUCUGCCACCGCUAUUUCUAGCUGUGAAUAGUCUGCUGCUUUACAGCAACUGGGACGGUGUGCUUAGUUAAUGAAUAGUCUGUUAUGGAAGAUGAAGCAGAUAUCCCUCCACUGAGAGAACAAUAAUCUUGUGAUCAUUCAGUUUGUUUUUGCCUUGAGCAGUUAGAAGUUACUAGAGUUACAUGUAGCUUAAGCAAACACGGAUCCAUAAAGUUCAAACCAGGCUUCUGUUUUUGAGCAACUUUCUGUUUCACUGGUGAAGAUGAAAAUAGAGAGAUUUGCUGCAUAUACUGUGGAGAAACAUGGCAGUGUGACUGUAGCAUCCAAGCUACAGCAGUAAAUAUUC
Long non-coding RNA from Numida meleagris (helmeted guineafowl), 27897 nucleotides. RefSeq lists it as uncharacterized. The record is from RefSeq and is a predicted model, not a curated record. The transcript is spliced from 5 exons. NCBI's taxonomy places the organism in Eukaryota, Metazoa, Chordata, Aves, Galliformes, Numididae.